This 350-nucleotide unclassified non-coding RNA is filed under the name soil metagenome. Its description in RNAcentral is "partial contains 5.8S ribosomal RNA, internal transcribed spacer 2, and large subunit ribosomal RNA". The stretch from base 1 to 120 matches the Rfam family "5.8S ribosomal RNA", at positions 35 to 154 of the family's 154-position model. The record is from RNAcentral.
GAUGAAGAACGUAGCGAAAUGCGAUAAGUAAUGUGAAUUGCAGAAUUCAGUGAAUCAUCGAAUCUUUGAACGCACAUUGCGCCCGCCAGUAUUCUGGCGGGCAUGCCUGUUCGAGCGUCAUUACAACCCUCAGGCCCCCGGGCCUGGCGUUGGGGAUCGGCGGAAGCCCCCUGUGGGCACACGCCGUCCCUCAAAUACAGUGGCGGUCACGUCGAGCUUCCAUAGCGUAGUAGUAAAACCCUCGUUACUGGUAAUCGUCGCGGCCACGCCGUUAAACCCCAACUUCUGAAUGUUGACCUCGGAUCAGGUAGGAAUACCCGCUGAACUUAAGCAUAUCAAUAAGCGGAGGA